GUGCGGCAUUAUCCACACGUCUUCUAGAUUCCGGUAGCAAGCCUCUAUGGAAUGAAUCAAUAAGUAACCACUUAUCUAGGCCAUGGUGAGGGCAUCCAAGGUCAAUGUUCUUGAAUCUCUCCCAUGCCUCAUGCAAAGUCUCUCCAUCAAAUUGAAUAAACCUCAAGAUAUCAUCUCUCAUACU
Molecule: small RNA, 184 nt
Filed under: Rosa chinensis
Lineage: Eukaryota; Viridiplantae; Streptophyta; Magnoliopsida; Rosales; Rosaceae
Description: sRNA RchiOBHm_Chr6g0272791
Rfam family: Plant small nucleolar RNA R71 (bases 78-184)
About the family: R71 is a member of the C/D box family of snoRNAs containing the C (UGAUGA) and D (CUGA) box motifs. Multiple nearly identical copies of this snoRNA have been identified in Arabidopsis, and it is thought to function as a 2'-O-ribose methylation guide for 18S ribosomal RNA.
Source: RNAcentral